RNAcentral lists this ribosomal RNA (200 nucleotides) under uncultured bacterium. RNAcentral describes it as "partial 16S ribosomal RNA". It matches the Rfam family "Bacterial small subunit ribosomal RNA", at positions 29 to 255 of the family's 1533-position model. The record is from RNAcentral.
AACGAACGCUGGCGGCAUGCCUAACACAUGCAAGUCGAACGAAGUCGUUCGGACGUUAGUUGGCGCACGGGUGAGUAACGCGUGGGAACCUGCCCUUCGGUACGGAAUAACGUCGGGAAACUGACGCUAAUACCGUAUAUGUCUCCGGAUGAAAGAUUUAUCGCCGGGGGAGGGCCCGCGUCCGAUUAGCUAGUUGGUGA